ACGGGUGAGUAAUGUGUGGGUAAUCUGCCUCCAAGAGGGGGACAACCUGGCGAAAGCCGGGCUAAUACCCCAUGAAGUUGCUUGGUUUUCGGACUGAGUAAUAAAAGGGUGGCCUCUAUUUAUAAGCUAUCGCUUGGAGAUGAGCUCACAUCCUAUCACGCUUGUUGGUGAGGUAAAGGCUCACCAAGGCGACGACGGGUAGCCGGCCUGAGAGGGUGUCCGGCCACACUGGAACUGAGACACGGUCCAGACUCCUACGGGAGGCAGCAGUGGGGAAUUUUUCGCAAUGGGCGCAAGCCUGACGAAGCAACGCCGCGUGGAGGAUGAAGGCCCUAGCGGUCGUAAACUCCUGUCUAGUGGGACGAAGCUUUUCAGGGUGAAUAAUCCUGGAGAUUGACUGUACUACUGGAGGAAGCUCCGGCCAACUCCGUGCCAGCAGCCGCGGUAAUACGGAGGGAGCAAGCGUUACUCGGAAUUAUUGGGCGUAAAGGGCGCGUAGGCGAUUUGACAAGUCUUGUGUGGAAGCCCCGGGCUUAACUCGGGAAGUGCACAAGAAACUGUUGAAUUUGAGUUCCGGAGAGGAA
Molecule: ribosomal RNA, 584 nt
Filed under: uncultured bacterium
Lineage: Bacteria
Description: bacterial SSU rRNA
Rfam family: Bacterial small subunit ribosomal RNA
Source: RNAcentral